CUGAGUACGGCGGAACACGUGAAAUUCCGUCGGAAUCCGGGAGGACCAUCUCCCAAGGCUAAAUACUCCCUAGUGACCGAUAGUGAACCAGUACCGUGAGGGAAAGGUGAAAAGCACCCCGGAAGGGGAGUGAAACAGUUCCUGAAACCGUGUGCCUACAAGUAGUUAGAGCCCGUUAAUGGGUGAUAGCGUGCCUUUUGUAGAAUGAACCGGCGAGUUACGAUUUGUUGCAAGGUUAAGCGGAAAAAGCGGAGCCGUAGCGAAAGCGAGUCUGAAUAGGGCGCAUAAGUAACAGGUCGUAGACCCGAAACCAGGUGAUCUACCCAUGUCCAGGAUGAAGGUAAGGUAAUACUUACUGGAGGUCCGAACCCACGCACGUUGAAAAGUGCGGGGAUGAGGUGUGGGUAGCGGAGAAAUUCCAAUCGAACUUGGAGAUAGCUGGUUCUCUCCGAAAUAGCUUUAGGGCUAGCCUCGAGGUAAAGAGUCAUGGAGGUAGAGCACUGUUUGGACUAGGGGCCCUUCUCGGGUUACCGAAUUCAGAUAAACUCCGAAUGCCAUGUACUUAUACUCGGGAGUCAGACUGCGAGUGAUAAGAUCCGUAGUCGAAAGGGAAACAGCCCAGACCACCAGUUAAGGUCCCCAAAUAUAUGUUAAGUGGAAAAGGAUGUGGGGUUGCUUAGACAACCAGGAUGUUGGCUUAGAAGCAGCCACCAUUGAAAGAGUGCGUAAUAGCUCACUGGUCGAGUGACCCCGCGCCGAAAAUGUACCGGGGCUAAACAUAUUACCGAAACUGUGGAUGAACCUCUUUAGAGGUUCGUGGUAGGAGAGCGUUCUAAGGGCGGUGAAGUCAGACCGGAAGGACUGGUGGAGCGCUUAGAAGUGAGAAUGCCGGUAUGAGUAGCGAAAGAAGGGUGAGAAUCCCUUCCACCGAAUAUCUAAGGUUUCCUGAGGAAGGCUCGUCCGCUCAGGGUUAGUCGGGACCUAAGCCGAGGCCGAUAGGCGUAGGCGAUGGACAACAGGUAGAGAUUCCUGUACCAGUGCUAAUUGUUUAACCGAUGGGGUGACACAGAAGGAUAGGGAAUCGCACGAAUGGAAAUGUGCGUCCAAGCAGUGAGUGUGAGAAGUAGGCAAAUCCG
This 1136-nucleotide ribosomal RNA is filed under the name Listeria monocytogenes. RNAcentral's name for it is "partial 23S ribosomal RNA". It matches the Rfam family "Bacterial large subunit ribosomal RNA", at positions 408 to 1544 of the family's 2925-position model. The record is from RNAcentral. Lineage: Bacteria; Bacillati; Bacillota; Bacilli; Caryophanales; Listeriaceae.